UAGUGAAUCUUACCUGCUCUAUGAAAGUUUUUUUAAUGGCCGCAGUAGUCUAACUGUGCAAAGGUAGCAUAAUAAUUUGUUCUAUAAUUCAGGACUAGAAUGAAUGGUUUGACGAGAAUAAAACUGUCUCUUAUUAGAUUCUUUAAAAUUUUAUUUUUAAGUGAGAAAGCUUAAAUUUAAUUAAAAGACAAGAAGACCCUAUCGAGUUUAAUUUCUAUUUGAAGUUUUUAGUAAUAUAUUCAUUGAGAUAUUUGGUUGGGGUAACCUAGGAGUAUAAAAAAUCUCCUUUAAUUAGGUUUAUACGAGUUAGUUAAGAUCCAUAUGAAUGAUUAAAAGAAUAAAUUACCGUAGGGAUAACAGCAUAAUUUUUUUAGAGAGUUCUUAUUGAAAAAAAGGUUUGUGACCUCGAUGUUGGAUCAAAAUAUCCUAGUGGUGUAGAAGUUACUAAGGGUUGGUCUGUUCGACCAUUAAAAUUUUA
Molecule: ribosomal RNA, 478 nt
Filed under: Hyalina buskei
Lineage: Eukaryota; Metazoa; Mollusca; Gastropoda; Neogastropoda; Marginellidae
Description: partial 16S ribosomal RNA
Rfam family: Bacterial large subunit ribosomal RNA
Source: RNAcentral